RNAcentral lists this unclassified non-coding RNA (212 nucleotides) under plant metagenome. Its description in RNAcentral is "partial contains small subunit ribosomal RNA, internal transcribed spacer 1, and 5.8S ribosomal RNA". The record is from RNAcentral.
UUUCCGUAGGUGAACCUGCGGAAGGAUCAUUCAUAAUAAGUGUUUUAUGGCACUUUUUUAAAUCCAUAUCCACCUUGUGUGCAAGUCAGGGUUGAUUUUUCUCUCGAGAGGAUCAGCCCCAAACAUCAACUAUAUCUCAACUCUUUGUCUGAAAAAUAUUAUGAAUAAAACAAUUCAAAAUACAACUUUCAACAACGGAUCUCUUGGCUCUC